CCUAGGUCACCUCUCCUGGGAAGACGUCCCUGACCUUCCAACUUGCCACUUCCUGCCUCCUUUGGCUUCUUCUUUUUAAUAUUCAUUCAUUUGGCUGCUCUGGGGUUUAGCUCCAGCACACAGGAUCUUACGUUGCUGCACACAGAACUCAGUUGUGUCAUGUGGGAUCUAGUUCCCCAACCAGGGGUCGAACCUAGGCCCACCCGCAUUGGGAAGGCGGAGUCUUAGCCGCUGGACCACCAGGGAAGUCCCACUUCUGUUGCUUCUUACCACCGGUAAGUUUAAGCCUCUGCGCUUUCAACUCUGGGAGCCUUGAUUGUACUGUUUGUUAUAGUCUGUUGAUGUAUCCAUCUCUCCACCAGAAUGAACAGCCCGAUGAUGACUCUGAGCACCCAAAGGUGCCCACCCGCGUGUCCUCAGGGCCUAGCAAGGGUUUCGGAAAUAUCUGCGGAGAGACUAAGGAAGUGUGGGUGCUGCAGCUUCUGAGGACUGAGUGCAACGGGAAAGCAUUUUCUAAGCCAUUGUCAUCCCAUUUGAUCCCCUGAAGGACACCUCGGCCUCAACAGGCACUCUCUGGAUGCAGGGAUAUGAAGGUGACGAAACCCAGCAGAGGAUGUAGCAGACAGCCUUGGAAACCAGAAAUCAUAACCCAAGGUUGGGAGUCCCUCCCCAUCUAGGCUGCUGGAUUAUGCAUUUGUAUGUUUGGUUGAGCAAGUCAAGAAGAAAAUUCUCCAGGGACAAUAUCUGGAUCACGAGGGCAUUUUCCUCUACUCCAGUACUGGGGAUAGCAAAGUAUUUGUUCCAAACUGCUGUUAUGUUCUAGGCAUUGUGUUCUGCAUUCAACAGGUAUUGUCUGAUUUAUUCCUCAGCGUGACUGUAUAGGGACUUUAUUGUGUCCAUUUUAUAGAAGACAAAGUAAAGGCUCAGAGAACCUGAAUAAUUCAUGCACAAGUCAUAUCAGAGGCGGAGCUGUGACUCUGUCACAGAAAGCAGGCAUGAUUAACUUGGUCAGUGUCACUUAUGGAGAUGUGAGCAAGGUGAAUGAACAUUCCUUAGACAUGAUGAUUUUCGCCUUUUUAAAAACAUUCCUGGUGGAGCAGUAGAUAAAAAUCUGCUGGCCAAUGCAAGGAACAUGGGUUCAAUCCCUGGUCCUGUAAGAUUCUACAUGCUACAGGACAACUAAGCCCACGUGCCACGACUACUGAGCUUGCUCCCUAGAGCCCGGGGACCAACCGCUGAGUCCACACCACAGCUCCUGAAGCCUGCGUGCUCUAGGGCCCGAGAGCCACAGUCUCAUGCCCUGUGCUGCAGCUACUGAAAUCUGCGCGCCUAGAGACCACGCUCUGCAACUAGAGGACCCAUCACAACGAGAAGCCUGUGCACUCAACUAGCGAGCAGUUCCCACUCUCCACAGCCAGAGCAAGGCUGCACGCAGCAGCAAAGACCCCGAGCAGCCAAAAAUAAAUAAAUAAAAAUAAACA
RNAcentral lists this transfer RNA (1481 nucleotides) under Bos indicus x Bos taurus (hybrid cattle). RNAcentral describes it as "lncRNA (ENSBIXG00000029038.1)". Lineage: Eukaryota; Metazoa; Chordata; Mammalia; Artiodactyla; Bovidae. The record is from RNAcentral.